Molecule: ribosomal RNA, 442 nt
Filed under: uncultured bacterium
Lineage: Bacteria
Description: partial 16S ribosomal RNA
Rfam family: Bacterial small subunit ribosomal RNA
Source: RNAcentral
CUACGGGCGGCUGCAGUGGGGAAUAUUGGGCAAUGGGCGCAAGCCUGACCCAGCAACGCCGCGUGAGGGAAGAAUGUCUUCGGAUUGUAAACCUCUGUCCUUGGGGACGAAAAAAAUGACGGUACCCAAGGAGGAAGCUCCGGCUAACUACGUGCCAGCAGCCGCGGUAAUACGUAGGGAGCAAGCGUUGUCCGGAAUUAUUGGGCGUAAAGGGUGCGUAGGCGGCGCUGUAAGUCAGAUGUGAAAUCCCCGGGCUUAACUCGGGAGUUGCAUUUGAAACUACAGUGCUUGAGUAAAGAAGGGGUAAGUGGAAUUCCUAGUGUAGCGGUGGAAUGCGUAGAUAUUAGGAGGAACACCAGUGGCGAAGGCGACUUACUGGUCUUUUACUGACGCUGAGGCACGAAAGCGUGGGGAGCAAACAGGAUUAGAUACCCAUGUAGUC